Molecule: long non-coding RNA, 425 nt
Filed under: Gorilla gorilla gorilla (western lowland gorilla)
Lineage: Eukaryota; Metazoa; Chordata; Mammalia; Primates; Hominidae
Description: lncRNA (ENSGGOG00000044541.1)
Source: RNAcentral
UAAAAGUGUGCUUUUAAAAAUUAUUUUAAAGAGUCAGCCAGAAUAGUCAAGAGUACCUUGUAUCAAACCAACUCACUGACCAAGAAAACCUGUAAAAGCUGGAUAGAAAACAACAAAAAUGACAACACAACAUCCAUGGUUGUUGCAAACAUUAGCCAUCAAAAAAGACAGCCCAACUUGAGAGAACAGUAACAACCUGGAGCUUUAAGCAGUCCCACACGGUUAUGGAAACAAAAACUCCAAUUAAGAGCUAUCAAAGCAGGCAAAUCCUGGAGAACAAAGGAGCCACAGAGAAGUGAGUCUUGUAUUUGGUAUGCCUUUUCUUCCCAAUUUCUUCACCCAAUUUUUUAGGCUAUGAAAUGGGCCUAAACCAAAGCUUUAAAGAAUUGAGAAGGGAAUAAACCAAAUGAAAAAUGAGUACUGAG